RNAcentral lists this unclassified non-coding RNA (315 nucleotides) under Tricholoma sp. RNAcentral describes it as "partial internal transcribed spacer region". The stretch from base 1 to 46 matches the Rfam family "Eukaryotic small subunit ribosomal RNA", at positions 1786 to 1831 of the family's 1831-position model. Lineage: Eukaryota; Fungi; Basidiomycota; Agaricomycetes; Agaricales; Tricholomataceae. The record is from RNAcentral.
AAGUCGUAACAAGGUUUCCGUAGGUGAACCUGCGGAAGGAUCAUUAUUGAAUAAGCUUGGUUGGGUUGUUGCUGGCUCUUCGGGGCAUGUGCACGCCUAACACCAACCUUUUACCACCUGUGCACCUUUUGUAGACCUGGAUAUCUCUCGAGGAAACUCCUCGGUAUGAGGACUGCUGUGCGUCAAAGCCCGGCUUUCCUUACAUUUCCGGUCUAUGUCUUUAUAUACACCCUUAGUAUGUCUAUGAAUGUUAUUAUCGGACUUGACUGUCCAAUAAACCUUAUACAACUUUCAACAACGGAUCUCUUGGUUCUG